RNAcentral lists this long non-coding RNA (201 nucleotides) under Homo sapiens (human). RNAcentral describes it as "HSALNT0106392". The record is from RNAcentral. Lineage: Eukaryota; Metazoa; Chordata; Mammalia; Primates; Hominidae.
AGCCCUUCCUCCAGCUUUGCUUUGUUUGGCUAACAUUUGUUGAAUAUGUACUCCCUGCCAGGAACUGUUAGGUCCGGACUCUGCUCUUCGGGGCCUAUAGUCAGCUGCAAAACAUUGGCUCUCCUGCCCCAUUAACUUCACUCACAGGCAGAAACGAGGGCCACAGUGGUUUACUGCCCUUGCAGCCAUAUCUCCAUCUGG